AUACGUAGGGAGCGAGCGUUGUCCGGAAUUACUGGGCGUAAAGGGCGCGUAGGCGGCGCUUCAAGUCGUCUGUCAAAUGGGAGGGCUUAACCCUUUUUCGCAGACGAAACUGUGGCGCUGGAGAAGCAGAGAGGCAAACAGAAUUCCUGGUGUAGCGGUGAAAUGCGUAGAUAUCAGGAAGAAUACCAGUGGCGAAGGCGGUUUGCUGGCUGCAUACUGACGCUGAAGCGCGAAAGCCAGGGGAGCAAACGGGAUUAGAUACCCCGGUAGUCCUGGCAGUAAACGAUGUAUGCUGGGUGUGGGAGUAGCGAUACCUCCGUGCCGAAGUUAACGCGAUAAGCAUACCGCCUGGGGAGUACGGUCGCAAGAUUGAAACUCAAAGGAAUUGACGGGG
Molecule: ribosomal RNA, 394 nt
Filed under: uncultured bacterium
Lineage: Bacteria
Description: partial 16S ribosomal RNA
Rfam family: Bacterial small subunit ribosomal RNA
Source: RNAcentral